CCUACGGGAGGCAGCAGUGGGGAAUAUUGGGCAAUGGGCGCAAGCCUGACCCAGCAACGCCGCGUGAAGGAAGAAGGCUUUCGGGUUGUAAACUUCUUUUCUCAGGGACGAAGCAAGUGACGGUACCUGAGGAAUAAGCCACGGCUAACUACGUGCCAGCAGCCGCGGUAAUACGUAGGUGGCAAGCGUUAUCCGGGUUUACUGGGUGUAAAGGGCGUGUAGGCGGGAAAGCAAGUCAGAUGUGAAAGGCAAGGGCUCAACCCUUGGACUGCUU
This 274-nucleotide ribosomal RNA is filed under the name uncultured bacterium. RNAcentral describes it as "partial 16S ribosomal RNA". It matches the Rfam family "Bacterial small subunit ribosomal RNA", at positions 338 to 626 of the family's 1533-position model. The record is from RNAcentral.